GAAAUAAUCAUUUUUUGAUAUUUUAUUUAAUUCUAGAGAAUUGAAAAAUAUAUUGAAACAAUUCAACUUCUAUUUGAAACAUUUUUUUGGAAAAAAAAUGAUAUAAAUCAAAGUGAUACUAUCAUAUGAGACAAUCUGUAUUUUAUUCAGCAGAUAUGAAAAAUUCGGAUUAAGUUUAAGAAAAAUUAAUAAUUAUAUUAUUAAAGGUCUCUAUGCAAGUGACUCGAAAUCUAAAUGGUUAAAAGAAAAAAUUGCUCAAAAUGAUGCAAGACAAGUUUAAUUAAAUUUAUAAGUUUCUAUAUUAAUAAUUUCCAGCCAUUUCUAAAACUCAACAGUCACUUUGUUGAAAUAAGAACAGAGAGAAAUACAGUGAGGAUUUGCCUCUGUCUAAGUGCGUUACGAAUUUUAAUGACGAUGAAGCCUCUACCCUCUUGGCUACUGCGUCGCUUUACAAACGCGUGGGUUUCCUAUUGAAAGCUGUUUGAACAUUUAUCGUGGCAAUUAUUAGUUAUCCCAACACUACUUUCUAUUCAUUAAAAUACUCACAGCAUCAACAAGAGAAGCGAGAAAACAUACAAUUUAACACCGGGCACAGCUUCUAACAGGAUCUUUGCGCAACGAACAGAGCAAAUAUAAUUGGAUCUAAACGUGUUCGGAAUUCAUGAACCCUGCUAAUUAUGUUUGACUUACGAAUUUGAAAUAAAUUCAUGAAAUGGUACAGAGAAAGAAGAUUGUAUGAGAAAUUAUAAUGCGUAUUUCUUCGUGACAUCUUUUGUGUCACCUUAAAGAGUUUCAAAAUAAAUAGUAAAAAAAA
RNAcentral lists this long non-coding RNA (814 nucleotides) under Apis mellifera (honey bee). RNAcentral describes it as "uncharacterized LOC100577782, transcript variant X2". Lineage: Eukaryota; Metazoa; Arthropoda; Insecta; Hymenoptera; Apidae. The record is from RNAcentral.